RNAcentral lists this ribosomal RNA (253 nucleotides) under uncultured bacterium. RNAcentral's name for it is "partial 16S ribosomal RNA". It matches the Rfam family "Bacterial small subunit ribosomal RNA", at positions 524 to 776 of the family's 1533-position model. The record is from RNAcentral.
UACGUAGGGUGCAAGCGUUAAUCGGAAUUACUGGGCGUAAAGCGUGCGCAGGCGGUUUUGUAAGUCUGACGUGAAAGCCCCGGGCUCAACCUGGGAAUUGCGAUGGAGACUGCAAGGCUUGAAUCUGGCAGAGGGGGGUAGAAUUCCACGUGUAGCAGUGAAAUGCGUAGAGAUGUGGAGGAACACCGAUGGCGAAGGCAGCCCCCUGGGUCAAGAUUGACGCUCAUGCACGAAAGCGUGGGGAGCAAACAGG